GUACUUCUGAAGAGCCCCAAAUAGGACGGAACAGCUGUCCAGUAU
RNAcentral lists this non-coding RNA (45 nucleotides) under Trichobilharzia regenti. Lineage: Eukaryota; Metazoa; Platyhelminthes; Trematoda; Strigeidida; Schistosomatidae. The record is from RNAcentral.